RNAcentral lists this ribosomal RNA (765 nucleotides) under uncultured bacterium. RNAcentral's name for it is "bacterial SSU rRNA". It matches the Rfam family "Bacterial small subunit ribosomal RNA", at positions 737 to 1496 of the family's 1533-position model. The record is from RNAcentral.
AUCCANUAAGUAAGGCCGNCCAGUGGUGAAAUUCGGCUUAUUAGAUACNNUGGUAGUCCACGCGGUAAACGAUGAAUGNUAGGUGUGGCNGGGCAAAGNCCGUCGGGGUCCGCNGCAAACGCAUUAAGCAUUCCACUGNGGGAGUACGUUCGCAAAGAAUGAAACUCAAAAGGAAUUGACGGGGACCCGCAACAAGCGGUGGAGCAUGUGGUUUAAUUCGAAGCAACGCGAAGAACCUUACCAAGUCUUGACAUCNCCAAUGAAUGUCUGGUAAAGCAGGCAGACCUUCGGGACCAUUGGAGACAGGUGGUGCAUGGUUGUCGUCAGCUCGUGUCGUGAGAUGUUGGGUUAAGUCCCGCAACGAGCGCAACCCUUAUCCUUAGUAGCCAGCGAGUAGAGUCGGGCACUCUGGGGAGACUGCCAGGGAGAACCUGGAGGAAGGUGGGGAUGACGUCAAAUCAUCAUGCCCCUUAUGAUUUGGGCUACACACGUGCUACAAUGGCGUAAACAAAGGGAAGCGAAGUGGCGACAUGGAGCGAACCCCAAAAAUAACGUCUCAGUUCGGAUUGUAGUCUGCAACUCGACUACAUGAAGCUGGAAUCGCUAGUAAUCGCGGAUCAGAAUGCCGCGGUGAAUACGUUCCCGGGUCUUGUACACACCGCCCGUCACACCAUGGGAGUCAGUAACGCCCGAAGUCAGUGACCCAACCUUAGGGAAGGAGCUGCCGAAGGCGGGACGGAUAACUGGGGUGAAGUCGUAACAAGG